RNAcentral lists this small RNA (2846 nucleotides) under Pan troglodytes (chimpanzee). RNAcentral describes it as "retained intron". The record is from RNAcentral. Lineage: Eukaryota; Metazoa; Chordata; Mammalia; Primates; Hominidae.
UUUUGGAGGGCGAUGAGCUAGUCUGCGGACGCUGUAUACCCUCCUCCACUUCCCGCUGCAGCCAAUAAAGGCCGUUCCUACCAUAGUCUGUCCGCGUUCUUUUUUCCGAGACUGCAGAGUUCGGGGAAGCUGUACGCCGCCUUUCGCUACGCGGAAUUUGCAGAUCUUCCCCUGGACCUCAGGCCUCUCCGGCUGGAGUAGGGUGGACGCUUCACAUAAGGUUCUCUGGUCGAACUUACCCGAAUCUCCAGAUGGCCGCGCUGCGUCGAAUGCUCCACUUGCCGAGCCUGAUGAUGGGGACGUGCCGCCCCUUUGCGGGUAGGGAGGUGGGGGCAGAGUGGGGAGGGCAAGGUGGGGGCAGAUUGGGGAGGGUAAGGUGGGUUCCUCGUGACUCAGGAGUGUAGUCCCUGAAAUUGUGAUUCUCAAACCCUACGGUGGGCCGUGCGUGGUGGCUCACGGCUGUAAUGCUAACACUUUGCCAGGCCGAGGCGGGCAGAUCGCUUGGCCCAGGAGUUCGAGACCAACCUAGGGCAACAUAGCGAGACCCUGUCUACAAAAAAAAUUAACCGGGCACGAUGGCGCCUAUAGUCCUAGCUACUCAGGAGGCUGAGGUGGAGGCUUCAGUGAGCCAUGAUUGUGCUACUGUACUCAACCCUGGGUCACAGAGUGAGACCCUGUCUCAAAAAAAAAAAAAAAAAAAAAAAGACGCCAGUGUGUAUAUACGACGUUUUUGCAGUGGCGACAUAGACCAAGUGACACCCUCCAACCGUGCCCACAGGCUCACUGGCUGAUAGUUGCCUGGCAGACCGCUGUCUCUGGGAUCGGCUGCAUGCCCAGCCUCGUUUGGGCACUGUCCCCACCUUCGACUGGUUCUUUGGAUACGAGGAAGUCCAGGGGCUCCUACUGCCAUUGCUGCAGGAGGCACAGGCUGCCAGUCCUCUGCGAGUGCUGGAUGUGGGCUGUGGGACUUCCAGCCUAUGUACAGGCCUCUACACCAAAUCUCCACACCCAGUGGAUGUGCUGGGGGUGGACUUCUCUCCUGUGGCUGUGGCCCACAUGAAUAGCCUCCUGGAGGGUGGCCCAGGCCAAACACCUCUAUGCCCUGGGCACCCUGCCUCAAGCCUCCACUUCAUGCACGCCGAUGCUCAGAACCUGGGGGCUGUGGCUUCUUCAGGCUCUUUCCAACUACUGCUGGACAAAGGCACAUGGGAUGCUGUUGCCCGGGGAGGUAUGCCUAGGGCUUACCAGCUUCUAUCAGAAUGCUUGAGGGUUCUAAACCCUCAGGGGACCCUGAUUCAGUUCUCAGAUGAGGACCCUGAUGUGCGACUGCCCUGCCUGGAACAAGGGUCCCAUGGCUGGACUGUGACUGUGCAGGAGCUAGGCCCGUUCAGGGGCAUCACCUACUUUGCUUACUUGAUUCAAGGCUCUCAUUAAAGACAUUUUAGUAGUCCUGACCCUAGUAUUUCUGUGGGCAAGGAGAGGGCUGAAGAACUGUCUUUGCAAGCUAUCUGGCUGCAAAGUGAGAAUUUGAGUCCUGGCUUCCACAUUUACUAGCUGGGUGCCAUAUUGCUGAAUGUUUCUGUUCCCCAGUUUACUCAUCUGCAGAGUGAGAAUAACUUGGAGUUACGGAGAUUACAUACAAUGAUGUGCGCAAUAUUUAGCACAAAAUGAAUGCUGAAAAGAGAAGGUACAAUUGGGUCAUUCCCCAGUUUCAACUAACGAGCUCCUAAAAGCAGCAGACAGGAACUGAAUCAAAACCCCUGCGCUGACUGACUUGUAUAAUCUAGUGGCCUAACCUGUAAGCCUCAUUUUUGUCACCUGUAAAAGGAGAUUGUAAGAGGAUGGGUAUAAGGAGCUUCAUAAACCUGGAUGAGAUAUUUGAGGGGGAGGGAACAAUACUUACCCUCAAAGCUAUUAGGAGGCAGGAGAUGGGAAUAUUCCACAAAGCCGCUUCUACAAACACGGGAGCCUGUUGUGGAGUCCCAGAAGGGACAGUGGUUGGUGGCUUCCAGACAUGCUGUGUCUUCAAGAAUCCAACAAGCAUCUUCUUCAUCCUCGUCCUGCCCCCAGCUGAGUCCAGCGUUAAAUGUUCUUAAAGGACUUCUAGGGUCCUGUGGGCUCCAAGCCCAGCCUGGGAUGGAGGAAGAGAGGGGAGAAAAAUAUUACUGAUAUAUUAUCAAAUUACAAAACUAGGCCAGGCAUGCUGGCUCAUAUCUAUAAUCACAGCACUUUGGGAGGCCAAGGUGGGCAGAUUGCUUGAGCCCUGGCAAUAAAGUGACACCCCUAACUCUACAAAAACAAAUGAGCCCGGGAUAGUGGCACAGGCAUGUAGUUCCAACUACUCAGGAGGCUGAGCUGGGAGGACUGCUUGAACCCUGGGAGGUCGAAGCUGCAAUGGGCCAUGAUAAGCUGCUGCACUUGAGCUAAAAAUUCAUUUCUGUGGUAUUUUUUGCUUAUAAAAAAAUAGAGCAAUUAUAUCACUAAGAGCCUAACCUCGCAGCCUCAAUUUUCUCAUUUAUAAAGGGGAAGUACCUUCAUUGGGUUGUUCUGAAAAUCAUGAAGUAAAAGUGUUUAGCAUAGUACCUGAUACAUAGUAAAUGCUCAAAAGAAUGUAGCUUCUUGGGAGGCUGAGGCGGGCAGAUUGCCUGAGCUCAGGAGUUUGAGACCAGACUGGGCAAUAUGGUGAAACCCCAUCUCUACUAAAAUACAAAAAAAAAGUCGGGUGUGGUGGCCUGAACCUGUAGCCCCAGCUACUCAGGAGGCAGAGGUUGCAGUAAGCCGAGAUCCUGCCACUGCACUCCAGCCUGGGCAACAGAGGGUGACUCUGUCUCAAAAAAAAAAAAAAA